AGUGUGUGUUAAGCAGUCGAGGUGGGAGUUACUGCUCGCUGGACAAACUAGAGAGUGGUAACCUUGCGUCACCAUCACGACAAUGAGUGACACUAUCAAUUUCACCAUCAACGGGGAAGCCCAUGAAGUGGGUGCAGGUGGGGAGGUGACGGCCACAACUACCCUGCAGAAGUACCUCCAUGGCCAGCCAUGACGGGGUCGC
Molecule: long non-coding RNA, 202 nt
Organism: Homarus americanus (American lobster)
Lineage: Eukaryota; Metazoa; Arthropoda; Malacostraca; Decapoda; Nephropidae
Exons: 3
Source: RefSeq, a predicted model, not a curated record